Molecule: ribosomal RNA, 203 nt
Filed under: uncultured bacterium
Lineage: Bacteria
Description: partial 16S ribosomal RNA
Rfam family: Bacterial small subunit ribosomal RNA
Source: RNAcentral
ACGCUCGACACCUACGGGAAGCAGCAGUGGGGAAUAUUGCACAAUGGGGGAAACCCUGAUGCAGCGACGCCGCGUGGAGGAAGAAGGUCUUCGGAUUGUAAACUCCUGUUGUUGGGGAAAAAGAGGAUGGUACCCAACAAGGAAGUGACGGCUAACUACGUGCCAGCACGCCGUACGGUAAUCUGAGGCGGGCUGGACAAGGC